GGCAGGGUAACGGCCCACCAAGGCGACGAUGGCUAGGGGGUCUAAAAGGAUGAUCCCCCACACUAGUACUGAGACACGGACCAGACUCCUACGGGAGGCAGCAGUGAGGAAUAUUGGUCAAUGGGCGAGAGCCUGAACCAGCCAUGCCGUGUGCAGGAAGACGGCCCUAUGGGUUGUAAACUGCUUUUGUUUGGGAAGAAAAGGCGAUACGUGUAUUGCACUGACGGUACCAGAUGAAUAAGCAUCGGCUAACUCCGUGCCAGCAGCCGCGGUAAUACGGAGGAUGCGAGCGUUAUCCGGAUUUAUUAGGUUUAAAGGGUGUGUAGGCGGAAGAUUAAGUCAGUGGUGAAAUCUCACAGCUCAACUGUGAAACUGCCGUAGAUACUGGUUUUCUUGAGUACAGUUGAAGUAGGCGGAAUGUGUAAUGUAGCGGUGAAAUGCUUAGAUAUUACACAGAACACCGAUUGCGAAGGCAGCUUGCUAAGCUGUUACUGACGCUGAUGCACGAAAGCGUGGGGAGCGAACAGGAUUAGAUACCCUGGUAGUCCACGCCGUAAACGAUGAUUACUCGUUGUUGGCGAUAUAUUGUCAGCGACUGAGCGAAAGCAUUAAGUAAUCCACCUGGGGAGUACGGCGGCAACGCUGAAACUCAAAGGAAUUGACGGGGGCCCGCACAAGCGGAGGAACAUGUGGUUUAAUUCGAUGAUACGCGAGGAACCUUACCUGGGCUUAAAUGUAGCGUGACCGUCCCUGAAAGGGGACUUCCAAGCAAUUGGCAGGUUACAAGGUGCUGCAUGGCUGUCGUCAGCUCGUGCCGUGAGGUGUCGGGUUAAGUCCCAUAACGAGCGCAACCCCUAUUGUUAGUUGCCAGCGGGUCAAGCCGGGAACUCUAACGAGACUGCCACCGUAAGGUGAGAGGAAGGUGGGGAUGACGUCAAGUCAGCACGGCCCUUAUGUCCAGGGCUACACACGUGUUACAAUGGUCAGUACAAAGGGCAGCUACCUGGUGACAGGAUGCUAAUCUCAAAAACUGAUCCCAGUUCGGAUCGAAGUCUGCAACUCGACUUCGUGAAGUUGGAUUCGCUAGUAAUCGUAUAUCAGCAAUGAUACGGUGAAUACGUUCCCGGGCCUUGUACACACCGCCCGUCAAGCCAUGGAAGCCGGGGGUACCUGAAGUCCGUAACCGCAAGGGGCGGCCUAGGGUAAAACU
This 1210-nucleotide ribosomal RNA is filed under the name metagenome. RNAcentral describes it as "bacterial SSU rRNA". It matches the Rfam family "Bacterial small subunit ribosomal RNA", at positions 251 to 1469 of the family's 1533-position model. The record is from RNAcentral.